CGAUCUGCUGCGGGCAGAUGAAGUGGAUGUGCGCGUCCACGCCGCCGGCGGUGAGAAUCUGCCCUUCACCGGCGAUGAUUUCCGUGCCCGGCCCGAUAAGGAUAUCGACGCCGUCCUGCACGUCGGGAUUGCCGGCCUUGCCGAUACCCGCAAUGCGUCCGCCCUUGAGCGCCACGUCCGCCUUGACAAUGCCCCAGUGAUCCAGGAUCAGGGCAUUGGUGAUGACGGUGUCGGCGCAAUCGGCGCUCACCGCCUGUCCCUGGCCCAUGCCGUCGCG
This 277-nucleotide small RNA is filed under the name uncultured Halioglobus sp. RNAcentral describes it as "5' ureB small RNA". It matches the Rfam family "5' ureB small RNA". The record is from RNAcentral. Lineage: Bacteria; Pseudomonadati; Pseudomonadota; Gammaproteobacteria; Cellvibrionales; Halieaceae.